UUCCUAGAGCUGGGGAUUUCUGUAGGCACUUUCAAAAGCUUGGGUUUAGCCCAACUCAGGCUGUCCAGUCAUGGUUUUAUUACUAAUUUAAACCUAUGGCCUCUAUACUGGAAACUAAAUCUGU
Molecule: long non-coding RNA, 124 nt
Filed under: Castor canadensis (American beaver)
Lineage: Eukaryota; Metazoa; Chordata; Mammalia; Rodentia; Castoridae
Description: HOX antisense intergenic RNA myeloid 1 conserved region 5 (ENSCCNG00000030730.1)
Rfam family: HOX antisense intergenic RNA myeloid 1 conserved region 5
Source: RNAcentral